This 200-nucleotide ribosomal RNA is filed under the name uncultured organism. RNAcentral's name for it is "partial small subunit ribosomal RNA". It matches the Rfam family "Bacterial small subunit ribosomal RNA", at positions 1184 to 1382 of the family's 1533-position model. The record is from RNAcentral.
GUCAAGUCAUCAUGCCCCUUAUGCCCAGGGCUUCACGCAUGCUACAAUGGCCGGUACAAUGGGCUGCGAUACCGUGAGGUGGAGCGAAUCCCAAAAAGCCGGUCUCAGUUCGGAUCGGGGUCUGCAACUCGACCCCGUGAAGUCGGAGUCGCUAGUAAUCGCAGAUCAGCAACGCUGCGGUGAAUACGUUCCCGGGCCUU